UAAUACAUUAGUAUUACUUAUAUAUGUUUUUAUAUAUUUUUUGUUUUUAUAAUAGUUUGUAUACAUUUUAAUAUUGAUAAUAAACAUAGUUGUUAUAUACUUCACUUCCUGCAUCCUGUACAAGUGAUUCAAGAAAGGGAUAGUGUCACCCUACAAAUUGACACUGAAUCUAUAUACUUAGAGCCAGUUAAAAAGGCUCUAAAGAAGGUGAGCACUUUUCUGGAUUUCAUUUAUACUGAUACACAUUGGUAUUUUAAAAUACUACAUUUAGUUUGGACGUUUCAUUCUCUGUUUCAUCUUAUAUACUCUGGAGAGUAACAGACGUUCCUUCACUGAGAGAGAGGGGUUGUGUGGUCUACCCAAAAGACACAGACGCUUGGAAGUUUAGAGCCUUAUCACUGUAAAAGGCUCUAAAAAAUGUGAGUUAAUUUACGUUACAACUCACACGUAUAAUCUAAAUUUUUCAGACAUAUUGCACUAUUAUUUG
This is a non-coding RNA of Pelobates cultripes (western spadefoot toad), 487 nucleotides long. The record is from the annotation of a GenBank genome assembly. NCBI's taxonomy places the organism in Eukaryota, Metazoa, Chordata, Amphibia, Anura, Pelobatidae.